GAUGUACGCUGGCGGCGUGCCUAAUACAUGCAAGUCGAGCGAAUGGAUUAAGAGCUUGCUCUUAUGAAGUUAGCGGCGGACGGGUGAGUAACACGUGGGUAACCUGCCCAUAAGACUGGGAUAACUCCGGGAAACCGGGGCUAAUACCGGAUAACAUUUUGAACCGCAUGGUUCGAAAUUGAAAGGCGGCUUCGGCUGUCACUUAUGGAUGGACCCGCGUCGCAUUAGCUAGUUGGUGAGGUAACGGCUCACCAAGGCAACGAUGCGUAGCCGACCGGGGAGGGUGAUCGGCCACACUUGGACUGAGACACGGCCCAGACGCCUACGGGAGGCAGCAGUAGGGAAUCUUCCGCAAUGGACGAAAGUCUGACGGAGCAACGCCGCGUGAGUGAUGAAGGCUUUCGGGUCGUAAAACUCUGUUGUUAGGGAAGAACAAGUGCUAGUUGAAUAAGCUGGCACCUUGACGGUACCUAACCAGAAAGCCACGGCUAACUACGUGCCAGCAGCCGCGGUAA
This 515-nucleotide ribosomal RNA is filed under the name uncultured bacterium. Its description in RNAcentral is "partial 16S ribosomal RNA". It matches the Rfam family "Bacterial small subunit ribosomal RNA", at positions 28 to 523 of the family's 1533-position model. The record is from RNAcentral.